GCUGUUAUCCCCACUGAACAAAGGGGAAAUGGAGGCACAGGGAGACUUAGGUUGGGAUCCACAAAGGUAUUUAGGCACCUACGUCCCAUUUUGAGGCCUCACUGCACUCCUCAAACCUCCUGCUUCCCCAUGGCUGGGGCUGAAGGCAGGGAAGAGAGAGAGAGAAGAUACAUGGAUGUGGUCAUGUGUGGAUAGCUGGACAACUUGCCGUGGGUGACCACGUAAGAAGCUGUGCAUGAUUCAAUGACAAAACCACUUACCUCCCUCCUCUGGACAGAAGGUGCUAACUCAUUGGCAUGGACACCCUGGGCCCAUUUCUUAGCAGCUGUAGGGCCCCACAUCACAAAGAGGCCAUAAAAGAGUGGGUCUCCUCUCCUCCCUACCCCUGGCUGUGUCCCUGGGGUAAGAAGCCUUGCCAGGAGGGGUGCUAAGUAGAUACAGGGGUCGGUCCUCAGCAUCGCUGGAGAGCGGAGACCCAGGGAGAGCCUGAACGGCACGCCGCAUUUGGCGCUCGAAUGGCGUUCAACCAAGUGACUUCCAUUCAAACGGAGUAAGCUGAGAAGGAGAUGACACUUUGGAGGCAACGUCUGGAGCUAGACUCCCCUGGGUGUGUUUCUCCCGUUUAGGCAGCGCGGGAGGCGGCUGUCUGAGCAGGAAUGAGACCCUUGAUGGAGGAACUUUGCUGUGCCACAAUACCCAGAGAAUGCUGAAUAUUCAUUACAUUUGACUUCUGCAAGUGCCUCUCCAGCAUUUGGUCAUGGAGCCAGCAUGCUUUAUUACAGCAAUGACUUUUUCUUUCCUUGCGGAAGGUGAUGUGGUUUUUACUGCCAGCUCAGUUUGCUCCUGCUCUAGGCUCCUUUCCCAUUGUGCAUAAGCUUUUCAAAUUUAUCUCUGAAAAGAGAGACGGGGGAAAAAUUCCGAUUAGCUUCAGUGCUUCAACUCCGUGAAAGGGAGAUUUACUGUCCUGUUAGAUGGAUGAGGGUGCCCAGCCUCUGAACUUUCACUUUCAAACAGGAGGUUAUUGCAAUAAAUACAAAGCCAGAUGACUGCACUUCCCAGUGAGGAGGAAGGAGACAGCUCCAUUUUCACCUCUGUCCUGGGGUGAGCGAGGCAACUUUCCUAAGGGGCCUCAUGCAGCCUGUGCUCAAAAUGGUGGAAGCCAUGGACACCCCUACAGUCCCUGCAGCUCUUAAAAUUACUUAGCUUUUUUUUCUUGAUUUGUGAUUUAUUUUUAAUAAACAUAUCCGAGCAUAGUCACUCUGCUGUGUGUGCUGCUACCCUGGCCUAUGGGCUGGUUGGUGGGGUGCAUUAGAACUGGCCUAAACCCAGUCUGAGCACCCCAAACUGGGGAUCCUAACUUUGUGGUGCUGUUCCAAC
Molecule: long non-coding RNA, 1377 nt
Organism: Mauremys reevesii (Reeves's turtle)
Lineage: Eukaryota; Metazoa; Chordata; Testudines; Geoemydidae
Exons: 3
Source: RefSeq, a predicted model, not a curated record